ACUCCUACGGGAGGCAGCAGUGGGGAAUUUUGGACAAUGGGCGAAAGCCUGAUCCAGCAAUGCCGCGUGUGUGAAGAAGGCCUUCGGGUUGUAAAGCACUUUUGUCCGGAAAGAAAUCCUUGGCUCUAAUACAGUCGGGGGAUGACGGUACCGGAAGAAUAAGCACCGGCUAACUACGUGCCAGCAGCCGCGGUAAUACGUAGGGUGCGAGCGUUAAUCGGAAUUACUGGGCGUAAAGCGUGCGCAGGCGGUUUGCUAAGACCGAUGUGAAAUCCCCGGGCUCAACCUGGGAACUGCAUUGGUGACUGGCAGGGUAGAGUAUGGCAGAGGGGGGUAGAAUUCCACGUGUAGCAGUGAAAUGCGUAGAGAUGUGGAGGAAUACCGAUGGCGAAGGCAGCCCCCUGGGCCAAUACUGACGCUCAUGCACGAAAGCGUGGGGAGCAAACAUGAUUAGAUACCCCUGUAGUCCCAU
RNAcentral lists this ribosomal RNA (472 nucleotides) under uncultured organism. RNAcentral describes it as "partial 16S ribosomal RNA". It matches the Rfam family "Bacterial small subunit ribosomal RNA", at positions 335 to 798 of the family's 1533-position model. The record is from RNAcentral.